UUUUAAUGAGUAUUCAUGAUUUUUUAGGGAUAUAUUACAGCAUUAACAUUAUUCUCAAGUCCACGCAUGAUUUACAUGAUAUUACUUAAGAUUCAGGCUUAUGAUCAAGGUAUGUAUGAUGUAUCAGUUUUCAAGACUAUUAAGCAUUAUUUAUUAUAAUUUGAUGGAUUUCAGUCUAUAUUAGUUUAACCUAAUAUGUUUUCUAAUGAAAUUCAUUAUCUUUACAGACAUGUCAUUUUAUGGCCCC
Molecule: long non-coding RNA, 247 nt
Filed under: Capsicum annuum
Lineage: Eukaryota; Viridiplantae; Streptophyta; Magnoliopsida; Solanales; Solanaceae
Description: long non-coding RNA (CANN_LNC015534)
Source: RNAcentral